AUUGAACGCUGGCGGUAUGCUUAACACAUGCAAGUCGAACGGUAGCAGGCCUUCGGGCGCUGACGAGUGGCGGACGGGUGAGUAAUGCAUAGGAAUCUGCCGAUUAGUGGGGGAUAACGUGGGGAAACUCACGCUAAUACCGCAUACGCCCUACGGGGGAAAGCGGGGACCUUCGGCCUCGCGCUAAUUGAUGAGCCUAUGUUGGAUUAGCUAGUUGGUAGGGUAAAGGCCUACCAAGGCGACGAUCCAUAGCUGGUCUGAGAGGAUGAUCAGCCACACUGGGACUGAGACACGGCCCAGACUCCUACGGGAGGCAGCAGUGGGGAAUAUUGGACAAUGGGCGAAAGCCUGAUCCAGCAAUACCGCGUGUGUGAAGAAGGCCGUGAGGGUUGUAAAGCACUUUCAAUAGGAAGGAAUACCUAUCGGCGAAUACCCGGUAGACUGACAUUACCUAUACAAGAAGCACCGGCUAACUCCGUGCCAGCAGCCG
This 490-nucleotide ribosomal RNA is filed under the name uncultured bacterium. RNAcentral describes it as "bacterial SSU rRNA". It matches the Rfam family "Bacterial small subunit ribosomal RNA", at positions 30 to 517 of the family's 1533-position model. The record is from RNAcentral.